UACGGGGGGGGCAAGCGUUGUUCGGAAUUACUGGGCGUAAAGGGCUCGUAGGCGGCCAACUAAGUCGGACGUGAAAUCCCUCAGCUUAACUGGGGAACUGCGUCCGAUACUGGAUGGCUUGGAUUUGGGAGAGGGAUGCGGAAUUCCUGGUGUAGCGGUGGAAUGCGCAGAUAUCAGGAGGAACACCGGUGGCGAAGGCGGGUCUCUGGGCAGUAACUGACGCUGAGGAGCGAAAGCGUGGGGAGCGAACAGG
Molecule: ribosomal RNA, 253 nt
Filed under: uncultured bacterium
Lineage: Bacteria
Description: partial 16S ribosomal RNA
Rfam family: Bacterial small subunit ribosomal RNA
Source: RNAcentral